AUUCUGGGGAAAAGCUGUCAAAGUCACUCGUUCUCUUUUUUCAGGUAUGAAAGUAGCAUCCUCAGGGGAAGGUCUUCCUGAAGAAACCUGAAUCUGCCAACGGUCCAUGACAGAGAGUAGGUGUGAAUGAAAACAUGGUGGCUGAAUGAGUGGCAGGUGCACUGCCCUCUGGAGGCUGGGGAAGAUACAUUGGAGGAAGAAAUUGUUUCCAGAAGUGUCAAAGAAGUUUGCAAGAUGGAGGAGAAUAUGAAUUAUAUUUGAAGACUGGGCAACACCUACAAAUACCAACGCAAUUAAGUAGAAAGCAGAUUAGACGAGGAUACCAUGAACAGAUUUCUAGUGGCCAGAAUCCAAAUGAAUGUUAGUGGGAGAGUGUUGCAGAAUUACAGGGUAGUUGCAAAAGUUAGAGAGAAUACAUGUAGUUAAAUAAUCUGGGAGUAAAAUACAUAUGGAUAUAACUAUAGACAAUGAAUUCUCACUUGUCCAAACGAGUUUGUAGCAACAACAAAAAACAGGCUCUUGAGUUUUUCCCAUGCCGUCAUUAGCUUUUUAAUAGGCUAUUAACCACUGAAAUUUCUCAGCAGCAGCAGGUCAUAUUGGGAAAUAUCCUUGCUGUGCAGUCUCUUUUGGAUUAGAUUAGAUAUUCAC
RNAcentral lists this long non-coding RNA (648 nucleotides) under Fukomys damarensis (Damara mole-rat). RNAcentral's name for it is "lncRNA (ENSFDAG00000023967.1)". Lineage: Eukaryota; Metazoa; Chordata; Mammalia; Rodentia; Bathyergidae. The record is from RNAcentral.